This 382-nucleotide ribosomal RNA is filed under the name uncultured eukaryote. Its description in RNAcentral is "partial 18S ribosomal RNA". It matches the Rfam family "Eukaryotic small subunit ribosomal RNA", at positions 592 to 976 of the family's 1831-position model. The record is from RNAcentral.
CAAUAGCGUAUAUUAAAGUUGUUGCAGUUAAAAAGCUCGUAGUUGGAUUUCUGGUUGAAGCGACCGGUCGGGCGUUGAUUCGUCUGCACUGGAGUCGGUUUUGGCCAUCCUCUAGGAAAGUGCGUCUGGUAUUAAGUUAUCGGGCGUAUGAUCCUGGUCUUUUACUGUGAAAAAAUUAGAGUGUUUAAAGCAGGCCUUCGCCUUGAAUACAUUAGCAUGGAAUAAUAAGAUAGGACUUUGGUCUAUUUUGUUGGUUUGCAGACCGAAGUAAUGAUUAAUAGGGAUAGUUGGGGGUAUUUAUAUUCCGAUGUCAGAGGUGAAAUUCUUAGAUUUUCGGAAGAUAAACUUAUGCGAAAGCAUUUACCAAGGAUGUCUUCAUUAA